This 482-nucleotide ribosomal RNA is filed under the name uncultured bacterium. Its description in RNAcentral is "partial 16S ribosomal RNA". It matches the Rfam family "Bacterial small subunit ribosomal RNA", at positions 31 to 507 of the family's 1533-position model. The record is from RNAcentral.
AUAGAACGCUGGCGGCAUGCUUUACACAUGCAAGUCGAACGGUAACAGGCCGCAAGGUGCUGACGAGUGGCGAACGGGUGAGUAAUGCAUCGGAACGUGCCCAGCCGUGGGGGAUAACUACUCGAAAGAGUAGCUAAUACCGCAUACGAUCUAUGGAUGAAAGCGGGGGACCGUAAGGCCUCGCGCGAUUGGAGCGGCCGAUGUCAGAUUAGGUAGUUGGUGGGGUAAAGGCUCACCAAGCCAACGAUCUGUAGCUGGUCUGAGAGGACGACCAGCCACACUGGGACUGAGACACGGCCCAGACUCCUACGGGAGGCAGCAGUGGGGAAUUUUGGACAAUGGGCGCAAGCCUGAUCCAGCAAUGCCGCGUGCAGGAAGAAGGCCUUCGGGUUGUAAACUGCUUUUGUACGGAACGAAACGGCUCUGGUUAAUACCCGGGGCUAAUGACGGUACCGUAAGAAUAAGCACCGGCUAACUACGUG